AUGGCUCAGAGGUGGGCUUUGGGGGGAGGUGUUCCGGUUUGUCCGGGAUUUAAUGAGUUGCCCGAUAUUCUAUUUCAGCUGGACCAAACAUCUUCCUCUCCCGUGCUGACCUUUGCAGUGAGGUUGUGCAUGGAGAAAUGUGCCGAAACGCCCUGUUGCCAUGAGAACCGAGGCCAAGAGAGGACCGGCGUGCUUCUGCUAAUUGCUGCAGCUCCUUCACCUGGCCGCAAACCCCACUGCACGAAGCCAGCCCUGUGGUGCUCCGGCCCCAUCCUGCCCCGCAGCCCAGGUCUGGACGUCUCCCGAGCACCCAAGGUUGCCGUGGCUCUGUCCCCAAGGAGGUGAGGACAGCUUGAGGUCUGUCUCCAGUCCCAGGAGGAGAGGACAAGGGAGAGAAGAUUGGGGCUGUGAGGCUGGAAGAGCUUAUAGAGGGAUAAGAUGCCUACAGC
This 449-nucleotide long non-coding RNA is filed under the name Anser cygnoides (Swan goose). RNAcentral describes it as "lncRNA (ENSACDG00005015611.1)". The record is from RNAcentral. Lineage: Eukaryota; Metazoa; Chordata; Aves; Anseriformes; Anatidae.